GAAGCGUUUACUUGGACCCC
This 20-nucleotide unclassified non-coding RNA is filed under the name Dictyostelium discoideum. Lineage: Eukaryota; Evosea; Eumycetozoa; Dictyosteliales; Dictyosteliaceae. The record is from RNAcentral.